Molecule: long non-coding RNA, 366 nt
Filed under: Anser brachyrhynchus (Pink-footed goose)
Lineage: Eukaryota; Metazoa; Chordata; Aves; Anseriformes; Anatidae
Description: lncRNA (ENSABRG00000009647.1)
Source: RNAcentral
AUUCUCAACUAGAAGACGAAGUUAAUUUCGAUGAAGCACACAACCAGUUCAGUACAAUUGAGAAGAAAAUUCUGUUUCUCUAACUGUGCCACAAUUCCAGCUUUGAUACAAGAUAAAGACUAACAGACGAACUUUGGGAAAAAUCCAUCACACUCCUGCCCAGGUCUGCAGCUUGGCAUGGGUCACCUCAGGAUGACUGAAAAAACCCUUCACAGCAGCUUCACUGCUCUGACCUCUGCUGUCCUGCUGCUAUUUAAAGGACAAUAUAUACCAUUGUUUGGAUUUUUCCAUCUUCAUAAAAGCUGAUAAGAAGAAUUAGUUCAGGAGGAUAUUGUGCACUUUUCCCAUUGAAAGGUUUGACGUGAG